UGGGGGCAGAAUCCCACAAGAUAUAGACAUCGAAGACCAAUCAGAAGGAGGUGCAAAUGCACUGAAUGUAAAUAGCUUGAGAACUCUACUGCACAAGUCGUCAACGCCUUCGAGCACAGUGCAGAGAUCACCAAAUGCCGACUCAGAACAGAUACGUGUGGCGAAGUCCCUUGUGAGGACAGUAUUUGAGGAUAGUCUG
Brassica oleracea var. oleracea is the source of this 199-nucleotide long non-coding RNA. RefSeq lists it as uncharacterized. The record is from RefSeq and is a predicted model, not a curated record. The transcript has 2 exons. Lineage: Eukaryota; Viridiplantae; Streptophyta; Magnoliopsida; Brassicales; Brassicaceae.